RNAcentral lists this ribosomal RNA (272 nucleotides) under uncultured bacterium. RNAcentral describes it as "partial 16S ribosomal RNA". It matches the Rfam family "Bacterial small subunit ribosomal RNA", at positions 336 to 605 of the family's 1533-position model. The record is from RNAcentral.
UUCCUACGGGGGGCAGCAGUGAGGAAUAUUGGUCAAUGGGAGAGAUCCUGAACCAGCCAAGCCGCGUGAGGGAAGACGGCCCUAUGGGUUGUAAACCUCUUUUGUCGGAGAACAAAACCCGGGACGUGUCCCGGACUGCGUGUAUCCGAAGAAAAAGCAUCGGCUAACUCCGUGCCAGCAGCCGCGGUAAUACGGAGGAUGCGAGCGGUAUCCGGAUUUAUUGGGUUUAAAGGGUGCGUAGGCGGAUUUUUAAGUCAGCGGUAAACUGUCCG